RNAcentral lists this ribosomal RNA (257 nucleotides) under uncultured bacterium. Its description in RNAcentral is "partial 16S ribosomal RNA". It matches the Rfam family "Bacterial small subunit ribosomal RNA", at positions 333 to 587 of the family's 1533-position model. The record is from RNAcentral.
AUGACCCUACGGGGGGCAGCAGUGAGGAAUAUUGGUCAAUGGGAGAGAUCCUGAACCAGCCAAGCCGCGUGAGGGAAGACGGCCCUAUGGGUUGUAAACCUCUUUUGUCGGAGAACAAAACCCGGGACGAGUCCCGGACUGCGUGUAUCCGAAGAAAAAGCAUCGGCUAACUCCGUGCCAGCAGCCGCGGUAAUACGGAGGAUGCGAGCGUUAUCCGGAUUUCUUGGGUUUAAAGGGUGCGUAGGCGGUCCGUUCAG